This 1432-nucleotide long non-coding RNA is filed under the name Eptatretus burgeri (inshore hagfish). Its description in RNAcentral is "lncRNA (ENSEBUG00000017192.1)". Lineage: Eukaryota; Metazoa; Chordata; Myxini; Myxiniformes; Myxinidae. The record is from RNAcentral.
CCGCAUUACACAAAUAUGUCGCGCGCGAAUCGCUCCGCGGCGGCCCCCCUCAGUGAGGCCUAUGAAGCCCUUUCGCGCUUGUUUUAGAUCUUCGCCGCUUACGUAACCUGACGUAACGGAGCGUCGUUGAUAUGGACGACGAGAGUACCAUCCGCUGGUUUCCAUGGGAGUGAUUGGGGUUUUCUGGGGCAUGGUUGUUACGACCAGCGGAGGAUGGAGUUGCUGGAACACCUGAGGAGACAGCGCCUUGCAGGUAGAGACCUGUGGACUCCUUCCAUUCCAAAUUUUCUGGAGAAGUGUCUGCACAGGGUGAGAGGCAUGGUUCUACGUUUGUCAAGGCAAUAAUUGAAUCACGUGAUUAAACUCCAAGUUUUCUGCACUUUUGGCCCAUCGGAUGACCAGGUCUGUUUGUCUUUUGAAUCGGUUCUUGUUCCAAAAUGUUUUCUCUCCUUUUCCUCUGUUCUUUCUGCAGGUGACGCUGGAUUGGGGUUGGUCACGUGGCACCAAAAGUCACAGGCUGACGUUUACCGAGGUGGCGUUGCUUCUGCAGGAGGUCACCACCCUCUAUUGCUACAGGGUCGAUGACCUGCACUUGCUGACAAGGCGCUUCUUGAGUCGGCAUUUUGAUGGGUCUCACUCUGAUGAUCUUCAGCUUCAUGGCAUCCAAUACUUAGACAACAACGCUACGUUGACAAAUCCUCGGGAUGGUGAUCGGCAGACUUCAAAGAAUGGCACGACCAGAAUUGAUCAUCACAAGUUAACAAUCUCUGCGUGUAGAAGACCUACGAGUGAAGAGGAUGAGAUGCAACCCCUGGAUGACCUCACCUCAUCUGCAGACCUCAUAUUACCACCAAACCAACUCCAAUGCAGGGAAAUGUUACCCAUAACGCCCUUAGUGCUGCUGGGGAUUGACCCAGGAAGAUUUGCUGGACUCAAAGCAUUUUGGGUAAACAGUAGCUGCACAGUUGCCUCGGGCUGCCUGUUCCUCGGUGCGAUUCCCACCGACCCACCUUUUUGGAUACCAACAGUUCCCACAAGCCUCUGCUCGUCUCCGACGCCUUCGCCGUCAUCAUCCACAAGCCCUUGUGUGUCGUUUCCAUCAUCCUCCACAUCCACGCCCCUGAGUAUGAAGUCGUCCACGACGACUGAUACGACGGACAUGAAUUGCUCGGAUGAGAUUGAAGAUUUGGGCUUAUGCACGGAGGAAGAAGAUGCUGAAGACGCAGAGCCUCAUGAUACCACUUCAGUGCUUCCUAUGGAAACUUCCUAUUCAUACCACAUAGAGUUUGAGUCUUUUGAUCAUCUGACGCCCUGUCCUUUCGUUGAUAUGCCAAGCUUUGAUGAACAGGUGAGCAAUCGGAGUCGACACAGAUUUACCUGUGGUGUCCGGUUCAGAGUGCGAUGUUUGCUUUUGAAGAAGGCAGUGACUUGA